Molecule: ribosomal RNA, 400 nt
Filed under: uncultured bacterium
Lineage: Bacteria
Description: bacterial SSU rRNA
Rfam family: Bacterial small subunit ribosomal RNA
Source: RNAcentral
GCUUCGGUGGGGGAUUAGUGGCGAACGGGUGAGUAACACGUGGGCAAUCUGCCCUCCACUCUGGGACAAGCCCUGGAAACGGGGUCUAAUACCGGAUACGACCACUUCGGGCAUCCGAUGGUGGUGGAAAGCUCCGGCGGUGAAGGAUGAGCCCGCGGCCUAUCAGCUUGUUGGUGGGGUAAUGGCCUACCAAGGCGACGACGGGUAGCCGGCCUGAGAGGGCGACCGGCACACUGGGACUGAGACACGGCCCAGACUCCUACGGGAGGCAGCAGUGGGGAAUAUUGCACAAUGGGCGAAAGCCUGAUGCUAGCGACGCCACGUGAGGGAUGACGGCUUUCGGGUUGUAAACCUUCUUUCCAGCAGGGAAGAAGCGAGAGUGACGGUACCUGCAGAAGAA